RNAcentral lists this ribosomal RNA (497 nucleotides) under uncultured bacterium. Its description in RNAcentral is "partial 16S ribosomal RNA". It matches the Rfam family "Bacterial small subunit ribosomal RNA", at positions 28 to 507 of the family's 1533-position model. The record is from RNAcentral.
GAUGAACGCUGGCGGCGUGCCUAAUACAUGCAAGUCGAGCGAACAGAUGAGGAUCUUGCUCCUCUGACGUUAGCGGCGGACGGGUGAGUAACACGUGGAUAACCUACCUAUAAGACUGGGAUAACUUCGGGAAACCGGAGCUAAUACCGGAUAAUAUAUUGAACCGCAUGGUUCAUUAGUGAAAGACGGUUUUGCUGUCACUUAUAGAUGGUUCCGCGCCGCAUUAGCUAGUUGGUACGGUAACGGCUUACCAAGGCUACGAUGCGUAGCCGACCUGAGAGGGUGAUCGGCCACACUGGAACUGAGACACGGUCCAGACUCCUACGGGAGGCAGCAGUAGGGAAUCUUCGGCAAUGGGCGAAAGCCUGACGGAGCAACGCCGCGUGAGUGAUGAAGGUCUUCGGAUCGUAAAACUCUGUUAUUAGGGAAGAACAAAUGUGUAAGUAACUAUGCACGUCUUGACGGUACCUAAUCAGAAAGCCACGGCUAACUACGUG